AAAUUGAAGAGUUUGAUCAUGGCUCAGAUUGAACGCUGGCGGCAGGCCUAACACAUGCAAGUCGAACGGUAACAGGAAACAGCUUGCUGUUUCGCUGACGAGUGGCGGACGGGUGAGUAAUGUCUGGGAAACUGCCCGAUGGAGGGGGAUAACUACUGGAAACGGUAGCUAAUACCGCAUAACGUCGCAAGACCAAAGAGGGGGACCUUCGGGCCUCUUGCCAUCGGAUGUGCCCAGAUGGGAUUAGCUAGUAGGUGGGGUAACGGCUCACCUAGGCGACGAUCCCUAGCUGGUCUGAGAGGAUGACCAGCCACACUGGAACUGAGACACGGUCCAGACUCCUACGGGAGGCAGCAGUGGGGAAUAUUGCACAAUGGGCGCAAGCCUGAUG
RNAcentral lists this ribosomal RNA (391 nucleotides) under Escherichia coli. RNAcentral describes it as "bacterial SSU rRNA". It matches the Rfam family "Bacterial small subunit ribosomal RNA", at positions 1 to 388 of the family's 1533-position model. The record is from RNAcentral. Lineage: Bacteria; Pseudomonadati; Pseudomonadota; Gammaproteobacteria; Enterobacterales; Enterobacteriaceae.